This 76-nucleotide non-coding RNA is filed under the name uncultured Eubacterium sp. RNAcentral describes it as "Cyclic di-GMP-I riboswitch". It matches the Rfam family "c-di-GMP-I riboswitch aptamer", at positions 6 to 83 of the family's 87-position model. From Rfam's summary of the family: GEMM was predicted in a large-scale screen for bacterial structured RNA regulatory elements. Genes associated with GEMM are involved in a diverse array of functions, including chemotaxis regulation, signal transduction, secretion and chitin. Lineage: Bacteria; Bacillati; Bacillota; Clostridia; Eubacteriales; Eubacteriaceae. The record is from RNAcentral.
AUAAAAGGCAAAACCGUUGAAAGGCGGCGACGCAAAGCAAGGUGUCUAACCAUUUAUUGUAUGACCGACCGGCUGC